AGUGAACGCUGGCGGCAUGCCUUACACAUGCAAGUCGAACGGCAACAGGCCGAGAGGUGCCGACUACUGGUGGCCGGGGGCGUAAUGGUUCGGAAUGUGUCCAGUCCUUGUGGAUAACGGCUCGAAAGGGUAGCUAAUACCGCAUACGAUCUAAUACGUACAGCGGGGGACAGCAAGGGAUCUCGCGAUUUUAGCGGCCGAUGUUAGAUGAGGUCGGAUUAGGUAGUUGGGGGGGUAAAGGCUCACCAAGGCAACGAUCCGUAGCUGGGCUGAGAGGACGAUCAGCCACACUGGAACUGAGACACGGUCCAGACUCCUACGGGAGGCAGCAGUGGGGAAUAUUGGACAAUGGGCGCAAGCCUGAUCCAGCAAUGCCGCGUGGAUGAAGAAGGCCUUCGGGUUGUAAACUGCUUUUGUUAGGAAAGAAAAGGCGCUGGUUAAUACCCGGGGGUAAUGACGGUACCGAAAGAAUAAGCACCGGCUAACUACGUG
This 492-nucleotide ribosomal RNA is filed under the name uncultured bacterium. Its description in RNAcentral is "partial 16S ribosomal RNA". It matches the Rfam family "Bacterial small subunit ribosomal RNA", at positions 29 to 507 of the family's 1533-position model. The record is from RNAcentral.